Molecule: ribosomal RNA, 481 nt
Filed under: uncultured bacterium
Lineage: Bacteria
Description: bacterial SSU rRNA
Rfam family: Bacterial small subunit ribosomal RNA
Source: RNAcentral
GACGAACGCUGGCGGCGUGCUUACCACUUGCAAGUCGAACGGAGCACCCCUGAAUGAGGUUUCGGCCAAAGGAAGGGAAUGCUUAGGGGCGGACUGGUGAGUAACGCGUGAGGAACCUGCCUUUCAAAGGGGGACAACAGUUGGAAACAACUGCUAAUACCGCAUGACACAUGAAUGGGGCAUCCCAUUGAUGUCAAAAAUUUAUCGCUGAAAGAUGGCCUCGCGUCCCAUUAGCUAGUAGGCGGGGUAACGGCCCACCUAGGCAACAAUGGGUAGCCGGACUGAGAGGUUGACCGGCCACUUUGGGACUGAAAUACGGCCCAAACUCCUACGGGAGGCAGCAGGGGGAAAUAUUGGGCAAUGGACGCAAGUCUGACCCACCAACGCCGCGUGAAGGAAGAAGGCUUUCGGGUUGUAAACUUCUUUUGUCAGGAAACAGUAAAAAAGGGUACCUGACAAAUAACCCACGGUUAACUACGUG